This is a microRNA precursor of Pelodiscus sinensis (Chinese soft-shelled turtle), 98 nucleotides long. Lineage: Eukaryota; Metazoa; Chordata; Testudines; Trionychidae. The record is from Ensembl.
UCUGGGUCGGUCUGGAAGACUUGUGAUUUUGUUGUUUCUGGUGUCAGGGAAGCGAACAACAAAUCCCAGUCUCCUCACAGCCCCAGGACUGGCCUCCA